UAGUGGCGGACGGGUGAGUAACGCGUGGGAAUCUGCCCUCAGGAGGGGGAUAACGGUUGGAAACGACCGCUAAUACCCCAUAUGCCGAGAGGUGAAACGAAAUUCGCCUGAGGAUGAGCCCGCGUCUGAUUAGCUAGUUGGUGGGGUAAGGGCCUACCAAGGCAUCGAUCAGUAGCUGGUCUGAGAGGAUGAUCAGCCACACUGGGACUGAGACACGGCCCAGACUCCUACGGGAGGCAGCAGUGGGGAAUUUUCCGCAAUGGGCGCAAGCCUGACGGAGCAACGCCGCGUGAGGGAUGAAGGCCUCUGGGCUGUAAACCUCUUUUCUCAAGGAAGAAGAACUGACGGUACUUGAGGAAUAAGCCACGGCCAA
RNAcentral lists this ribosomal RNA (373 nucleotides) under uncultured bacterium. RNAcentral's name for it is "bacterial SSU rRNA". It matches the Rfam family "Bacterial small subunit ribosomal RNA", at positions 93 to 500 of the family's 1533-position model. The record is from RNAcentral.